RNAcentral lists this ribosomal RNA (2790 nucleotides) under Triticum aestivum (bread wheat). Its description in RNAcentral is "partial small subunit ribosomal RNA". Lineage: Eukaryota; Viridiplantae; Streptophyta; Magnoliopsida; Poales; Poaceae. The record is from RNAcentral.
AUGGAGAGGGUGAUGGUGAGCGCUGUGACAGGAGUGAUUUCACCACUCCUGCGCAAGCUCACGGCCUUGCUGGAGAAGAAGUACAAGCUGUCCAAAGAUGUGAAGAAGGAGAUCACCUCUUUGAAAGAUGAGAUGAGCUCUAUGAGUGCUCUGCUCGUGACGCUGUCUAGGACCGAGGAGCUCGAUGAGCAACAGAAGGACUGGCGUGACAAGGUCCGUGAGCUGUCUUAUGGUAUGGAAGACUGCAUCGACAUAUUCAUGAAUGAUCUUGAUAGUGCUGAUGCCAAGGCUGGGCUUUUGGGUGGACUAAAGAAGCUCAAGGCUCACUACAAGAUUGCUAACAGGAUCGAAGAACUGAAGGCAAAGGUCUUGGAAGCAAGCGAUCGUCACAAUAGAUAUAAGCUUGAUGAGCAUGUUGGUUCUUCUCGGGGCCCUGAAGCUAUUGACCCUCGUGUACAGGCACUCUACACCGAGGCCAGUAGCCUUGUAGGCAUAGAUCGCCCAAAGGACAAGCUUAUCGAGUUGCUGAUGAUGGAGGAGAAUGCACCACAACUUCAUGUGGUAUCAGUUGUUGGAUUUGGAGGCAUGGGCAAGACAACUCUUGCCAAACAAGUUCAUGAUAAAAUCAAAAGCCAAUUUGAUUGUACAGCCUUUGUAUCGGUGUCUCAAAAUCCCAAUCUUGUCAAGGUAUUGUCAGAUAUACUCUCUGGAGUUUGGGGGCAGGUGCCUUCUUUCCUGAAUGAUGAGCGCCAACUGAUCGACAAACUCAGGGAAGUUCUCCAAAACAAAAGAUACCUUAUCGUGAUUGAUGAUAUAUGGGCAAUGGAAGCAUGGAACAUUAUUAAAUGUUCUUUCAUGGAGAAUAAUCGUGGUAGUAGAGUUAUAAUUACUACACGUAUUGAAGAUGUAGCUCAUGCAUGCUGUUCUUGUUUCCAUGGCCAUGUCUACAACAUCAAACCUCUUAAUGAUCUUGACUCAAGGAGAUUAUUCCAUAGAAGGAUUUUCCCCUUUGAAGAUGCUUGUCCUGAGAAACUAACAAAUGUUUCUGAUGAAAUUCUAAAGAAAUGUCAAGGGGUUCCACUAGCCAUACUGAGUGUAGCCAGCCUUUUGGCUAAUCAUAAGGAGGUAAAUUCAAAGGAAUUCUGGGAAAGGAUACAAAAUUAUUUAAGUUUACAAUUGGAAGGAAACCCUGCUUUAGAAUGGAUGCGACAUGUCCUUAAUCUUGGAUACAACUAUUUAUCUCUGGAUCUUAAGACCUGCAUGCUAUAUCUCGGGAUAUUUCCUGAAGAUUAUGAAAUAAGAAAGGAUGAUUUGGUUAAGAGGUGGAUCGCCGAGGGUUUUGUGGGUCUAGAGGAGAUUGCAGAAAAUUAUUUUAGUGAGCUCAUCAAUAAAAACAUGAUCCAAAUAGCCGAGUUUGAUGAUUGUGGGAAUGUGUUGUCUUGUCGAGUGCAUGAUCUAAUGCUUGACUUUAUCAUACUGAAGUCCACAGAAGAAAACUUUUUCACUGUAACUAAGGAAUUCCCUGUAAUUCAUGAUCCACAUACCAUGAAAGGCUCCAUGGAAGUUCGCCGACUGUCCCUCCAACUCAGAAAUACAGAAUGCAAUCAUGUGCUAGGGAACAUUGCUCUGGCCCAAGUUAGGUCAUUUAACUUUUGGGGCCCUGGUCAAUGUAUGCCUUCUCUCUCGAGGUUUCAACUUGUGAGAGUUCUACAUCUUGAUGUGUAUGAUUCCAAGGAAGAGCAGUAUGAUCUGCCUUCGAUACGCAGUUUGUUCCUACUGACAUAUUUGAGGAUCAGAGGUUUGAAGUGUGAUGAACUGCUAAAACAAUUGCAAACACUGAAACAUUUGAAGUCAUUGGAGAUAGUCGGUGGAGGAAAUCGUGGAGAGCUAGAUGUUCGCUACUUACCCUCAAUGUUGUGGCAUCUCAUUGUUCCUAAAAAUUUGACUUUGUUCGGUGAGAUUGGCAGGAUGGAAGCCCUCCGUACUCUGUAUCAACCCUUCAUUAUACAUGUGGAGAUCUUGAAGGGACUCGGUAAUCUGAAGAACUUAAGGGAGUUAAAGCUAUAUCUCUUUGGAUUCAGUGAUUUUGAAGAUGCCCUACUCCCUUCACUCUGUAGGCUCGACAGCCUUCGAUCCCUAACCACCGAUGGGUACACCUUAGGAUAUGAUUGUUUGACUUAUUGGAACCCACCUCCGCGCCAUCUUCAUAGACUGCAUGUACUGAACUGCCCCUUCUCCGUGGUCCCAGAUUGGAUUUUGCAACUCGAAAAUCUCAAAAGCUUGGAGAUGCAACUCGUGUCACUGCCAAGGGUUGGUGUCGAGGUUCUUGCCAGUCUGACCUCGCUGGUGCACCUUAUACUGCGUGUCAGGGGCAGUGUAAGGGAUCAUGCUCCCGAAGAAGACAUGGUUAUUGUCCGUGGUGCGACAUUCCCAAACCUCAAGAAUCUUGUCUUUGCGUAUGAAGUGCCCUGCCUUACAUUCGAGGCAGGCGCCACGCCAAGGCUUCAGAACCUCACUAUAGAGUGUUGUGCACAAGCAGUGCGUCAAGCCGAUGGUGUACUCAAUGGCAUCGAGCACCUAGGGAGUCUCAGGGCGUGCAAGGUGCAUAUUUACAAGUGGGUCAGUCUCUUCAGAGAGAGUUUUGAUAGGUUUGCUGCUGUGGCACAAGGAGGGGAACACGUAUUUCAGGAGGAGGCUCCACACAUGCAGGUGCAGAGUCUCCGGGCUGCGAUCAGCGAGGCGAUCAACAAGCACCCGGGAAAUCCCAGUGUCAGCAUUGUAACUUUUUGA